RNAcentral lists this non-coding RNA (103 nucleotides) under Arthrobacter sp. RNAcentral describes it as "SAM-I sequence". It matches the Rfam family "SAM riboswitch aptamer (S box leader)". Rfam says of the family: The SAM riboswitch is found upstream of a number of genes which code for proteins involved in methionine or cysteine biosynthesis in Gram-positive bacteria. The SAM riboswitch acts at the level of transcription termination control. Lineage: Bacteria; Bacillati; Actinomycetota; Actinomycetes; Micrococcales; Micrococcaceae. The record is from RNAcentral.
UGACCAUCCCGAGCGGCACGAGAGAUCUGGCUCACUGACGCCGCAGCAACCCUCGCUUUUUCUCCCAAGGACUGAAGGGUGCUACUGCCAGAGACGAUGGAGG